ACCACAUUGCAAUGACCUAAAACAACAAAGAUUUAUUAUCUUAUAGUUCUGUAGUUCUGAAUUCUACAACAAGUCUGCCUGGACAAACACGAGGGUGUCUUGUUGGCAGGAUUGUCUUUCUUGGUGGAUGCUCUGGGGAGAAUCUGUUUUCUUGCACAUUCCAGCUUCUAGAGGCCACCACAUUCCUUCUCUCAUGCCCCUUUCUCCAUUUUUGAAUCCAGCCUAGUGUUGAAUUCUCAAACACUGCUUCACUCCGACCUCUUCUGACUUCCUCUUCCACAUUGAAGGAGAUGUGUGAUUACAGUGGGCCCACAUGGAUAAUACAGGAUAAUAUCCCUUUUUUAAAGUCAGAACUUUAAUUCCAUCUUCUACCUUGAUUCCCCUUUGCUAUGUGAUAUGACAUAUUCACAGGUUCUGGGAAUUGUGACAUGGACAUCUCAGAGAGGGGGUCAUAAUUCUAUUACAGUGGCUUAGAAAUUCUGGUGCAUCUUAACUGAGGGUCUCUCGUGAGGUUGCAGUCAAGAUGUCAGCUGGUCUUGGUAGAUGCACGUCUCAGAUCCACGCUGCCGACCAAAGGCCCCCUGUGAUAUCACCAGGGGCAGAGUCCAUAUCUCCCGUUUCUGUUCCGGUGGCAGCAUGAGACCUGUCUCGUUGCCCCAGUCUGGAUGUCAGAGUAGGUGCAGCCUAGACGCCUGUCUGCCCUUCUUGCCCCUCUGGAAACAACAGCAGGGGCCGAUUCAACCUGCCACCUCUGGCAAAGCCCACGUCUCCACCCUGGGUUCAGAUGCUACCGUCUCUCUCCUGUGUCACUGGCAUUUUUUCCCAACUAGCACCUGCCCCUAAGUCUUGCUACCCCAAAUCGGUGGCGCAAGCUUUUGGCGCAAGUUCUUGCCAAAUCACAAGCUGUUGGCUUAUAAUGUUUGAAUAGCUCCCCCAUUGUUGACAGCAUAUACAGUUUGGAUUCCUUAGCAUUGGAUAUAAGGCCUUUCAUAAUUGAGCCCCUAUUUCUCCAGCCCAAUAUAAUUUCUGCUAUUUUACUCAUUGGGAGUAA
Molecule: long non-coding RNA, 1051 nt
Filed under: Felis catus (domestic cat)
Lineage: Eukaryota; Metazoa; Chordata; Mammalia; Carnivora; Felidae
Description: lncRNA (ENSFCAG00000052665.1)
Source: RNAcentral